Molecule: long non-coding RNA, 3048 nt
Organism: Heterocephalus glaber (naked mole-rat)
Lineage: Eukaryota; Metazoa; Chordata; Mammalia; Rodentia; Bathyergidae
Source: Ensembl
AACAAUGCCCAGCAUGAGGUAAGUGGAAAGUGUUGGGGAUGCAGUGGCUGGGGCCUGACUCUCAGCCUCCCACCCAGGGCUGGGUGACCUUGGGCCUGGAUGAAUAAUGGAUUGUCACCGGAUAGCCAUCUCUUCACUCUCCUGUGAAGCAGAGGGAAUCGCUUCGUCUUCAAAGCGCUGCUGGGAUGCUCUGUCCACUGCCCCUGCUCUGCGGUCAAAGCUUACAGCAUUGGAAGCUGUGGGACGCCCAGGGUGGCCUGCUGCAACACUGGCCACCCAGUCGACUGCUGGGAAUACACCUCCCUCCACUCUUUGGUGUUCUUGGGAAUUUGUCUAAGAACUACUCCGGGGCUCUUUGGCAUGAGUCUGCCCAUGUAGAAGGAGCCAUUUUCCUCCUGAGCUCCUAGGCAAAGCAUUGUUUGUCACCUGGAAUCUGUCACACGGGCUGUGGCUGCGUCACUGCCUGGUGCUCCCUGCAUGCAACAUCCUUUCUGUUUCUAACAAUGACAGGCUUUAAUCUCUCCGGAAAAUGCCUCCAUCUCCAGCUGGGGCUCUCCCAGUCCCUUUAGUCCUCAGGCCUGGGACUGUCAGUCUCUAUCUAUUUCCGACCCCUUGCCCUUUGCUUUCUCUUGAAUUUCCUGAGGCGUUUCCUUCUCCCGUCAGACACUUUAUAGAUUUCACAUUUUCUGUUGUGUUGAUUUUCGUUUGCUGCCUCUUGGGGACCAAGAUUUAAAACCCCACUACUCCCUCCUUUUUCACUGCUCACAGGGCUCAUUUAUUUCCUUUUCUUUUUUGUGGUGCUAGGGAUUGAAUCCAGGGCUGUGUGCAUGCCACCCAAGCACUCUAUCACCGAGCUACGUCACCAGCCAUAUCUAGCUAUUUACUUUCUCUCAUCGCUUUUCUCAAAGAAACAUAAGAAAAAAGUGCUUACAAAAAAACUCACACCAUUUAACUGGAGGCAUUAAGAUUAAGAAAUACAAAAGAAAAAAGAUUAAGAAAUACAGAGCUUUGGGUGGCAUGAGAUUGCACAUGCUUGAGGUGGUGACAUGUGCCAACGCUCCCAGAGGCUGAGGCAGGAGAAUCAAAAGUUUGAGCCCAGCCUAGGCAAUUUAGCAACUUAGUAAGACUUUGUCUCAAAAAAAAAAGACCGGGGCUGUAGCUCAGUGAGACCCUAGAAUCCAUCCCUAAUCCCACCAAAGAGGGGCCGGGGAUUUGGCUCAGUAGUUUACCUGCCUGCCUAAUGCCACCCAAAAAAAGGAAAGAAAUAAAACCAGAGAGAUUUAUAUUUUUUGCACAAUGAUAUGUAAACAUAAAGCAAUUAUGGAAUUAUUAAUAUAAAAGACUUCAAUGAAAUCACAUCCUGAUAAAAUUUUAAAGCAAUGAUAUCAGGAUUAUUUUAUGACAUUUUAUCCUCUCAAAUGGUCCAAUCCAGUCAAUGCUUAAGAAGCCACACCCACUUUCUUUCCCACACCCCACCCGUGCACUUGGGGAUGGAACCCAGGGCCUUCACACUGAGCUACAUCCCCAGCUCUACUUACUUAUUUAUUUUUAUUUUGAGAUCGGCCAAGGCAUGGUGGCACAUGCCUGUAAUCCCACCAGUCUGGGAAGCUAAGGCAGGAAGAUGGCAAGUUGAAGCCCACCUUGGGGCAAUUUAGCAAAUUCUCAAGUCCUUGUCUCAAAAGUUAAAAAUAAAAAGUACUGGGUAUAAAACAGUGCAAAAGCCCUGGGUUCAAUCCCCAGUACCACAUUUUCUUUUUUUUAAUUGAGAUAGGAUCUCACUAAAUUCCCCAAGCAAGACUUGAAUUUUUGAUCCUCCUGCCUCAGCCUCCCAGAGAGCUGAGAUUAUAGGUGUGUGCCACUGUACCCAGGGUCAUGCCCACUUUUUGCCAUGCACACUAAGAACCAGAGAGAAUAAACUUUAUGUUUGGUCUUAGCUCUCAACCACUUUCUUUAACCCCAUCCUGAAUCUUUAUUUCACCCAGGUCUAAGGUUAGGGGUGAGACUACAUUUAAGGGAAUAAGAAUCCUGAAAGAAAUAGUAUGAGAACAGGAACAAGCUUUAGGAUUCAGAGGCCAGUACAAGACAUGCUGGAUUCCAUUUCUUUUAGCUGACCCUCUAAUAGCUCUCCGAGGUAGGGCUUUUAUUUGUCUAUUCUCAAAGGCAAGAAUGGGGUCUGGGAUGUAACUCAGAGGCACACUGCUUGCUUAGCAUGCACUAGGCUCUGAGUUCAAUUCCCAGGCCUGCAAAAGAAGGGCGAAAGUAAGAAUUCCAGUAACUAUUAAAGUAAGGGUUCCAGUAGCUAUUACAGAAAGAAUUCAUAUACUCAGGGCUAGGCGUAUAAAUAAGCACGUGGACAGACACCUGGUCUAUGUGAAUAAAAGCAAGGUGGACACUACUGAUUUCAUAUGUGUUUCGCUGAAUCACACAUCAGAUUAAACACCUACGGGGACCUUGGCUUCUCGCUAGAAUCUUUGUAUUCUAACUUGACAUCGUGCCUCUAGUCCUUCCCUAUUUUUUCUUUCUCUCCAUUUUCUUGAACCAUGCAUGACAGCUACACCCUCAGCCCCCUUAUCCAUUUUUCCACACUCUGGGCCCCAACAUGGUUCUACUUCCUAUCCCAUGAAGAAUGUUUUCAUUCAGUUUGCCUCCUAAAUAGGAGCCGGACACGAAUCACAAAACACAUGCUCCAGUACGCACACACAUUCUUCCUUCUUUCCCCUCUGAAUUCCUAGCACCCAGCCCAGGUAAGUAUUUCACUCAUCUUGCACCUAAAUCCUCCCUGAUGAUUUUCCAUUGAUAAAGGAAACUGCUAUUUGUGGGCUAUUGCACUCUUUUCUUUGUCACAGGACCCAGCCAUGGUUACUUUCACAUUCUCCCCAGAGCCCACAUAGCGAGCUUGGCACAUGGCAAGAACCUGAUGGAUAUCUGUGGUUAGUCAACUAUUCAUCUGAUGGAUGACUCUCUGGUUUGGCCUCUCAUUUUCCAGGGAGGGCCUGGCCAUCUCUGAAGAGGCAGUUAACACCUGAAAAAAGAAAAGAAACAAGUAGC